GACGUAGGGGGCGAGCGUUGUCCGGAUUUAUUGGGCGUAAAGAGCGCGUAGGCGGCCCGUUAAGUCGGAUGUGAAAACCCGUGGCUCAACCACGGGCCUGCAUCCGAUACUGGCGGGCUCGAGGCAGGCAGGGGAGAUCGGAAUUCCUGGUGUAGCGGUGAAAUGCGCAGAUAUCAGGAGGAACACCGGUGGCGAAGGCGGAUCUCUGGGCCUGUCCUGACGCUGAGGCGCGAAAGCCGGGGGAGCGAACGGG
RNAcentral lists this ribosomal RNA (253 nucleotides) under uncultured bacterium. Its description in RNAcentral is "partial 16S ribosomal RNA". It matches the Rfam family "Bacterial small subunit ribosomal RNA", at positions 524 to 776 of the family's 1533-position model. The record is from RNAcentral.